UAGGGAAUCUUCGGCAAUGGACGAAAGUCUGACCGAGCAACGCCGCGUGAGUGAAGAAGGUUUUCGGAUCGUAAAACUCUGUUGUUAGAGAAGAACAAGGACGUUAGUAACUGAACGUCCCCUGACGGUAUCUAACCAGAAAGCCACGGCUAACUACGUGCCAGCAUCCGCGGUAAUACGUAGGUGGCAAGCGUUGUCCGGAUUUAUUGGGCGUAAAGCGAGCGCAGGCGGUUUCUUAAGUCUGAUGUGAAAGCCCCCGGCUCAACCGGGGAGGGUCAUUGGAAACUGGGAGACUUGAGUGCAGAAGAGGAGAGUGGAAUUCAAUGUGUAGCGGUGAAAUGCGUAGAUAUAUGGAGGAACACCAGUGGCGAAGGCGGCUCUCUGGUCUGUAACUGACGCUGAGGCUAGAAAGAGUGGGGAGCAAACAGG
This 429-nucleotide ribosomal RNA is filed under the name Gemmatimonadota bacterium. RNAcentral describes it as "Gemmatimonadetes bacterium partial 16S ribosomal RNA". It matches the Rfam family "Bacterial small subunit ribosomal RNA", at positions 355 to 776 of the family's 1533-position model. Lineage: Bacteria; Pseudomonadati; Gemmatimonadota. The record is from RNAcentral.